RNAcentral lists this ribosomal RNA (457 nucleotides) under Bithynia goniomphalos. RNAcentral's name for it is "partial large subunit ribosomal RNA". It matches the Rfam family "Bacterial large subunit ribosomal RNA", at positions 1925 to 2604 of the family's 2925-position model. The record is from RNAcentral. Lineage: Eukaryota; Metazoa; Mollusca; Gastropoda; Littorinimorpha; Bithyniidae.
CAACGGCCGCGGUACUCUGACCGUGCAAAGGUAGCAUAAUCAUUUGCCCUAUAAUUAAGGGCUAGUAUGAACGGUCUAACAAGAAUGGAACUGUCUCUUUUAAAAUCCUUAGAAUUUGGUCUUUAGGUGAAGAAACCUAAAUUAUAUUGAUAGACAAGAAGACCCUAUCGAGCUUUAAAACAAUUAGUUAAACAAAUAGAUAACACUAACUUUAACUAAAAAUUUUGGUUGGGGCGACUAAGGAACAAACAAAGCUUCCUUAAUAAAUUCUACACUAAUAAGUAAUGAUCCAAAAUAUUUGAUUAAUAAAAUUAGUUACCGUAGGGAUAACAGCAUAAUCUUCUUCAAGAGUUCUUAUCGAAAAGAAUGUUUGUGACCUCGAUGUUGGACUAGGAUAUCCAAAAGAUGCAGAAGUCUUUAAAGGUUGGUCUGUUCGACCAAUAAAAUCCUACGUGAU